This 74-nucleotide transfer RNA is filed under the name Verrucomicrobiia bacterium. RNAcentral's name for it is "tRNA-Pro". It matches the Rfam family "tRNA". Rfam says of the family: Transfer RNA (tRNA) molecules are approximately 80 nucleotides in length. Their secondary structure includes four short double-helical elements and three loops (D, anti-codon, and T loops). Lineage: Bacteria; Pseudomonadati; Verrucomicrobiota; Verrucomicrobiia. The record is from RNAcentral.
CGGGCCGUAGCGCAGCUUGGUAGCGCGUCUGCCUUGGGCGCAGAAGGUCGCGAGUUCGAAUCUCGCCGGCCCGA